Molecule: small RNA, 2722 nt
Filed under: Pongo abelii (Sumatran orangutan)
Lineage: Eukaryota; Metazoa; Chordata; Mammalia; Primates; Hominidae
Description: retained intron
Source: RNAcentral
GCUGCAUCCUGAGCUGCCGGGGUUGGAAACUUCGUGGUGGAUGAUGCCUGUAACUACCCAGAUGGUAUCAAGACGCAACAGCCCUCAUCGAGGGAUGCUCAGAGUCAAGGAAACUUUUCUCUUGAGCUAUUGGCAGCUUAACUCCUGUGAACAAAAUUUGGAGCAUAUUUGUUUCUCUCUGCCUGAUUUCUCCAAAAUUUGGAAACUAUUUGUGAGUAUUCUUAACUUAUAGCAAUAUAGUUAUUUGCAUAAGUACAAUAAGGAUCUGUUUUCUUUUGCAAACGGACACAAUUGGAGAAACUGGUGAUUUUACCAAAGCUUUGACUGGAAUGGUAUGUUUUCCUUUAAGGAAUCAAAUUUGACUUAUAAAGCCAAUAAAAGCCCCUUGGGAAACCUGGCCUCAUGCCUUGUCUACACAGUCCCUGUACAGGGUUCCCGACCUGUGGUAAGUAAAGAAUGUCACUUUCUGAUUGGCCCAGGAGCCCCAGGUUACCUUGGGACCUCAAGAGGAGAGGAAUUUACCCAACUCAGGUAUUUGAGGGUGCAAACUCACAGCUGGGCUCAGCUUUUAAAAAGUCUUAUCUGAGAUUCAUUUUAUGAAACACAGUUCCAUCAAAGUCAAUUUUAAAAGCCUCUGUGAAAAAUAAUUAUUAUUGCUGCACUUUAUACAAAUAAUUAGGCCAAGUAUAAUAAAGCAAAUUGGUUUUGCCGUGAUUUGUCUUUAGUAAAAACUAGGAGACUAGAGACAGAAAAAUUAUGUUUCAAGAACUAUGGUACACCUGUUGUUAGAUUCUAAUCUCAUCAGUUGUUUUUAAGGGUUUUUUUCUGCAAUUUAGACUGAGUGCUUAUUCCUGUGAGCCAACCAGUGAUCUCUUGCAGUUCAGAAUAAACAAGAAAGACAGAUACCACCUUUUGUCAGAACUCGGAGUUACAAGUGACCCUCACCAUAACUAUGCUUUCUGAGCUCCUCUCUACCCUGAAUACAAGAGACCCUAAUAGUUAGGCAGGAAUAUCGUUGCCCCUAUUCAGCCUGAAGAAGUUAUAGAAUAUGGAUCUUCAUCCUUCCACAACCCUUAGAAUUAAGAGUUGCCUUGUAAAAGGGAGGGGGGAAAUGUCAGAGACAUUUGAAUCAGAACAACUCCACCUUGAAUAGGGGCUGGGUAAAACAAGGCUGAGAACUGCUGGGUUGCAUUCCCAGAUGGUUAAGGCAUUCUAACUCACCGGAUGAGGUUGGAGGUCAGAACAAGAUACAGCUUAUAAAGACCUUACAGAUAAAACAGGUUGCAGUAAAAAAGCCAGCCAAAACCAAGAUGGCAACAAAAGUGACUUCUAGUUGUCCUCACUGCUCAUUAUAUGCUAAUUAUAGUGCAUUAGCAUGCUAAAAGACACUCCAACCCGCACCAUAACAGUUUACAAAUUCCAUAGCAACACCAGAAAAUUACCCUAUAUGGUCUAAAAAGGGGAGGAACCCCCAGUUCUGGGAAUUGCCCAUUCUUCCUGGAAAAUUCAUGAAUAAUCCACCCCUUGUGAUAUGAUUUGGCUGUGUGUAGCCUAGGGACUUGAUAUCCUGCAUCCCAGCUGCUCUAGCCAUGGAUAAAAGGGGCCAAAGUACAGCUGGGGCCAUGGCUUGAAAGGGUGCAAGCUCCAAGCCUAGGCAGCAUCCACAUGGUGUUGAGCCUGCAAGUGCACAGAGGUCAAUAAUUGAGGUUUGGGAACCUCCGCCUAGAUUUCAGAAGAUGUAGAGAAACGCCUGGAUGUCCAGUCAGAAGUUUGCUUCAGGAACAGUGCCCUCAUGGACAACCUUUGCUAGGGCAGUGAAGAAGGGAAAUGUGGGCUUAAAACCCCACACAGAGUCCCCACUGAGGCACUGCCUAGUGGGGCUGUGAGAAGAGGGCCACCGUCCUCCAGACCCCAGAAUGGUAGAUCCACCAACAGCUUGCACUGUGCACCUGGAAGAACCAUAGACACUCAACACCAGGAGUGAAAGCAGCCACAAAGACACAGAGGCAAAGCUGCCCAAGACCAUGGGAACCCACCUCUUGCAGCAUGACUUGGAUGUGAGAAAUGGUGUCCAAGGAGAUAAUUUCAGAGCUUUAAGAUUUGGCUGCCCUGCUGGAUUUCUAACUUGCAUGGGGCCUGUAGCCCCUUCAUCUUGGCCAAUCUCUCACAUUUGGAAUGGGUGUAUUUACCCAAUACCUGUACCCCCAUUGUAUCUGGGAAGUAACUAACUUGCUUUUGAUUUUACAGGCUCCUAGGUGGAAGGAACUCACCUUGUCUUAAAUGAGACUUUGGACUAUGGACUUUUAAGUUAAUGCUGAAAUGGGUUAAGAAUUUGGGGGACUGUUGGGAAGGUAUGAUUCAUUUUAAAAUGUGAGAACAUGAAAUUUGGGAGGGGCUGGGGGCAGAAUGAUAUGGUUUGGCUGUGUCCCCACACAAAUCUCAUCUUGAAUUGUAGCUCCUAUAAUUCCCACCUGUCAUGGGAGGGAUGCAGUGGGAGGUAAUUAAAUCAUGGGGAUGGGUCAUUCCCAUGCUAUUCUCAUGGCAGUGAAUAAAUCUCAUGAGAUCUGAUGGUUUUAUAAAUGAGAGUUCCCUUGCACAAGUUCUCUCUUUGCCUGCCACCUGUAAGAUGUGGCUUUGCUCCUCCUUGCCUUCUGCCACGAUUGUGAGGCCUCCUCAACCAGGUGAAACUGAGAGUCAAUUAAACCUCUUUCCUUUAUCCGUU